RNAcentral lists this ribosomal RNA (508 nucleotides) under uncultured bacterium. Its description in RNAcentral is "partial 16S ribosomal RNA". It matches the Rfam family "Bacterial small subunit ribosomal RNA", at positions 28 to 523 of the family's 1533-position model. The record is from RNAcentral.
GAUGAACGCUAGCUACAGGCUUAACACAUGCAAGUCGAGGGGAAACGAUAGAGAAAGCUUGCUUUUUCUAGGCGUCGACCGGCGCACGGGUGAGUAACGCGUAUCCAACCUGCCCACCACUUGGGGAUAACCUUGCGAAAGUAAGACUAAUACCCAAUGACGUCUCUAGAAGACAUCUGAAAGAGAUUAAAGAUUUAUCGGUGAUGGAUGGGGAUGCGUCUGAUUAGCUUGUUGGCGGGGUAACGGCCCACCAAGGCGACGAUCAGUAGGGGUUCUGAGAGGAAGGUCCCCCACAUUGGAACUGAGACACGGUCCAAACUCCUACGGGAGGCAGCAGUGAGGAAUAUUGGUCAAUGGACGAGAGUCUGAACCAGCCAAGUAGCGUGCAGGAUGACGGCCCUAUGGGUUGUAAACUGCUUUUAUAAGGGAAUAAAGUGAGAGUCGUGACUCUUUUUGCAUGUACCUUAUGAAUAAGGACCGGCUAAUUCCGUGCCAGCCGCCGCAGUAA